RNAcentral lists this transfer RNA (90 nucleotides) under Pseudoramibacter alactolyticus ATCC 23263. It matches the Rfam family "tRNA". Rfam says of the family: Transfer RNA (tRNA) molecules are approximately 80 nucleotides in length. Lineage: Bacteria; Bacillati; Bacillota; Clostridia; Eubacteriales; Eubacteriaceae. The record is from Rfam by way of RNAcentral.
GGAGAGGUGUCUGAGCUGGCUGAAGGAGCACGCCUGGAAAGCGUGUAUACGUGAUUAAGCGUAUCGAGGGUUCGAAUCCCUCCCUCUCCG